Molecule: ribosomal RNA, 1149 nt
Filed under: Mitostoma chrysomelas
Lineage: Eukaryota; Metazoa; Arthropoda; Arachnida; Opiliones; Nemastomatidae
Description: eukaryotic LSU rRNA
Rfam family: Eukaryotic large subunit ribosomal RNA
Source: RNAcentral
UCCCUUAGUAGCGGCGAGCGAACAGGGAGGAGCCCAGCGCCGAAUCCCGCGCCCCCUGCGGGCGUAGGGAAAUGUGGCGUUUAGGAGUAGUGUUCCCCGCGGCAAGUUCCGGUGCAAGUCCUCGUGACUGGGGCUCUUACCCGGAGAGGGUGCAAGGCCCAUAGCUGCCGGAUUCCGCCGCGGGAAGCGAACUCCUUUGAGUCGGGUUGCUUGAGAGUGCAAUCCUAAGUGGGUGGUAAACUCCAUCUAAGGCUAAAUACUGCCCCGAGACCGAUAGCGAACAAGUACCGUGAGGGAAAGUUGAAAAGAACUUUGAAGAGAGAGUUCAAGAGUACGUGAAACCGCAUAGAGGUAAACGGAUGGAACCUCGAAGGUGCACGUCGGGGGGAUUCAGUCAGACGUCCGUCGGGGAGACGGUGGGUGUUUGGACCCUCUGCGAGGGCCACGCCUCCGUAGCGGACCCGGGACCGUCUGGCGCAUUUCCUCCCGUUCGAGCUACGUCGCGACCGGUUGGGUUACUGAAAGUCUCCGCCGUAAGUGCGGGCGACGGAAGGUGACCGGCUGCUGACUCACGUCGGCGGCCGGUGUUAUAUCCUGUCCGCAUGGACGAGAUCGCCCGACCGGGGAAAAUACCUCAAAGGCCCGAAAGGGCCAGGCCGUGCCCACCCGACUCUGUUCGGGGAGCGGAGUCGUGGAUCCCAGGCGUCACCCUGCUCGUCCCGCCACAGACCUGGUCUGUGCGGGCCUGCGGGUGCGCCGUUCGGGAUCUUCCGCCCGCCACGGGUGCCAAAGGUUGCGGCGAGUAGGUCGGUCACCCAUCCGACCCGUCUUGAAACACGGACCAAGGAGUCCAACAUGUGCGCGAGUCAUUGGGACUUGUUCAGGCCCACAGGCGAAAUGAAAGUGAAGGCCUUCCGUUCGCGGUCGGCCGAGCUGGGAUCCCUCUCCCUAACAGGUGGGGGCGCACCAGCGGCCCGAUCCAAUGCCGCCACGUCGGCGGGUCGGAGCUUGAGCGCACACGUUGGGACCCGAAAGAUGGUGAACUAUGCCUGGGCAGGACGAAGCCAGAGGAAACUCUGGUGGAGGUCCGCAGCGAUUCUGACGUGCAAAUCGAUCGUCAGACCUGGGUAUAGGGGCGAAAGACUAAUC